This is a long non-coding RNA of Polyodon spathula (Mississippi paddlefish), 3958 nucleotides long. RefSeq lists it as uncharacterized. NCBI's taxonomy places the organism in Eukaryota, Metazoa, Chordata, Actinopteri, Acipenseriformes, Polyodontidae. The record is from RefSeq and is a predicted model, not a curated record. The transcript is spliced from 3 exons.
UUGCUUGACUGUUCAUUUUGUAGGGAGGUAUUGUACAUGCACUGGUUGUUUGGUGCUAAGAGCUGUUUCAUUUUGAUCCCACAGGAAGCGUAUCACCCAACUAGAGGAAGGGGAGGUAGGCACCCUGCACACACACUGUUCCAGGUAACCUGCCAGCAAUGGGUGACAUUCAUGGGGCGUCUUGGGUGCCCAUCUGUUCAGCAGUGCUCAGCUGAGAUCGCCUCAUAGUUCCUCUUGCCCUCAAUCCUGACAGAGAUUGUGAAUCUGGUCAGCUCACUAGCCAAUGACACCACAGUCAAGGUGUUUGAGAGAAAAAACUCCAACAGAGCAACAAAAAAAAAAAAACACACAACACACUUGAUCCAUAAUGUCUGGUCAAUUUUCCCCUAAAAACGAACCCCAUUUCCAUGGAAAACAAGCUACUUGCAGUUGGACUACAGUAUAAUCAGAAUUUGUGUUUGUGGGCUUUAAAGAUUUAAAUUGCACUCGGAUUUGUCUUCAGUGUGACAUUACUAUCAGAAAUCGGUGACCUGAAUUAUCAGGAGUAAACCUCUAUUUUUAGUAGUGAAUUUGUGCAUUCUCUACCUAGGCUUAAUCUUAUUCCUCCUUUUGUUCCUGGUAAUGGGGUCAGUUCUGAAGACAAGACUGUGAUGAUGAAGUGUGUGUUUUUAACUAAUAUAAAGAUCCUUUGUCUCAGUUGUCCCCAAGGAGAGACUUUUGUCCCCAUCUCUCUCAGCCAGCACUCCAGCACACCCCCUGCUACUGCAAGAUGGUUCAUUCUCAUUGGAUGGAACUUUCACCAAUGGCAUUCCAGUACUGGGCAAGAAGACAGCUGUGAUGAGGAAAGCACCCUACUGGUUAAUAUGUUCACAUGUAUAUCUUCCACUAGCUGGUUUGAGAGGAGCAGUGGUGGCGGGAUGCUAAAAGUGGGGUUUGUCCAAACCAAUCUGCUGCUGCUUUUUUUUUUUUUUACGAUUUAUAUCUGUGAAGCUCUUGAUGUAAAACAAGCAGACUCAUAGGGGUACAGAUUCUGUGUAAUUAUGCCCCCUUGAUUACAUUUAAAAUAAUAUAAAUAUAUUGAAAAUUAUUUUUAAAAAGAAACAGCUUACUGGGUGUAAAAUCUUUAAAAAUACUAUCUCCCCUAUAAUGGCUUUGGAGAUAUGACUGUCAGGUCUAAGCUGUCAUCCAUUGGUUCACUCUUGAAGUUUGCAUAAUUGCUAGUCCGUGGCAAAUAAAUAAGCAUUAAGUAGCUUAGUGAUUUUUCCUAACGUGAAGUAUUACACAUGUUGCUGCUUUCCCAGAAGAGAAGCUGUGUAAAUGAGAUGUCACAGAGAAGGAUUUCCCUUUUUAUAAAUGUAAAAAUAAAACACAGUCCCAUAGUAGGUAAACACUGUAAGGCUAUUCCACAGUAAUGCAUAACAUUGGUAGAAAUAAUCUCAUCUCCCAUGUGACACUGUUUUUUCUUAAUCUUGACAAUUGUCCAGCAGUCAUUGCAUGUGAUUUCCAGUAGAAUGGCCUUACACUGCUAUCACCAUUACUGAGUAGUGUUUCAGUAUACCAACAGUCCCUGUGCGGUCUAACGCAUACAAUAUAUACAUAGUGCUGCUCUUUAGAGUGUAGUAUAAUAUUACUAUGGUGUGUAAAUGUCUUGCCGAAAAGUGUGUCUACAGUAUGGUAACAUAGUUUAUCUGAGUAUCAAUACAAACUGUCUGCCUUGCUUCCAUGUGAACCUAGGUACUUGUAUAUUAAAUACUGUUUAUAGAAAUGAAUCACAUUUCCAUUACUUAUGUUAAUUUUCAUAUGCAGUCCCUAGUGUAUUUAUAUCUGUGUAACACCAGGUUCAUUUCUAAUGAUUUAAAGGAGGGGUAUUAAACAACCAGCAUAAUUGCCUUUUCUAUAGUAGUCUGACAGUCCUUGUCCUGGAUAAUCAGUUAUUUUAAUUCCCUGCUAAAUAGUAAAACCAGCCCUGCUUAAUUCAUUGUAAUAACUUAUGUUGCUUUGGAAACCAAAAAAAAAAAAAAAAAUCAGUAACCAUGGUAUUUAAUUCUCAAAAACAAUUCCACAGAGCAUUGCCUUUUUGUAACACACAAUUCAUGGACAAUAAGAGCUUUUGUGAAUAUGAAUGCAAAAUUUUACAUGAUGACUUCCUGGGCAAAAUUCACACUAAUUACAACUUAGCUAAUUACUUAUUACAAACCCCUAAAAUGGAAUGUCAGUAUUGUUUAUUUUGGGGUUCGGUAAACUUUAAUUUUCAUGCUAAGGUGGGGUGGUUGAAUAAAAAGGAAGUGUCACAGUUUUUAACCCUUUGCUGCCCAAUGCCCAAUAAAUAGACAUGAAUAGUAAUGGCAGUAAUGGGCUAACUUCUUCUCUCGCUCGCUCUCACAGCUGACUCUUUACAUGUACAACUGGUUUGUAGAUUGGAGUCGACUUUGAGUCGGGGACUUACUCGGCUGGUCCAGUGGCAGAACACCUGUUCGCAUGCCGUACACUUUCUCCUCAGCCAGAAUAUGGGUCUCUUUCACCACUACUGCUUCUUAGACACCCCUGGUCACAAGGAUCUCAAAUAGGUAGCCCUUUCAUGACUUCUUUAACACCACAUUUGAGAUCUUUAUCACCACAAUCGGCAGACAUCCUAUGAGCUGAGAGCUAGAAAUUGUAUAUGUCCUAUUUUGAAUUGUUCAUUUUGUUCAUUUGUCUGCCCUGAUUUAAAAACAAAAAAGCUCCCAGGGUAACAACCCCGUUUAGACUGUGCCACCCAGUCCUCAUGAGAGAUUCACUUUAAGAACGGGAGGGAGAGUCUGCAGGUCUCUUGUUGUUAGGGCAUCUGUGUGACAUAAACAGGGCCUCUCCUGCAGCAGAGUGACGGUGACAAGCAGCUGUCGCGUGCCGUGGGAUUCCAUUAAGGAUGGUUUCUGAGCUUUUCCAGCUAAACGCAGCAUAGACCUGUUAUAGCAAUAAAAUCUUUUUUUUUUUUUUUUUAAUGUUUAUAUAUGUAGACAAAAAGAAUAAUUGCUUAAGUGCCAUCAUUUCUGAAUACCUGAUUGUGAGCUAUUAACAAGCUAGUAAUAAUUUUCUUGAAAAGGAGUCCUGUCUGUAAUUCUUGCAAAGUACUACAAGAGAAAGCCAUGGUCCUUGUUGCCCCAGUGCCUUUUACUGGUAUCAAUAGUGCCACUUUGUAAGGCUGAUGGUCAAUACCGGCCAAAGUCUGAAAGGAAACUUGCCACAGUUAUCAGAAGCUGAAUCCAGAGUCAGAUUUGUUGGCAUGGUGCAAUGCAUUUCUUUAAGUGUGCAUACUGCGUUCUACAGGAGUCGUGCAAUAGCUUUCCAAGCAGCAGUAACAUAGACUAUAUGCAUAGGGCUGCGCUUUUUUGCUAGUGGCGCAUUCCUAUACUCAGUUGACGAUGCUAAAAAUAUCAGCAAAGCCACUGCAUGCAGUCCAAAGGGUCUGUCUCGCCCUAAAGAUAUUUCUUAAUGUGUUCAUCACAUUUCUGGGACAAGGGGAAACGCCAUCAAAGAGGGCUUCUAUGCAGUCACAGGUAAUUUACUAGGUUAUAUGUAAUUUAAUGAACAGGUAAUCCCAUCAUUAUCAUUUAUUAAGUAGGCUACAUUAUUAUGCAGAGUUCCACAUUGUCAUUGGUGCUGUGGACUGCAGUUAUCAAGGCACAUCCAGGACCAAAUGAAGUGGAUUUUGUGACAGGAAAUCCUUUCACAGCAUUAAUGUACAGGUACUUAUGACGUUAUCACUUACAUGAAAUUAAAAAUGAGCUACAACAUUUUAAUGACAGUUAUACAAUGCCAGUGCUAGUCAGUAGGUGUUAGACUUUGGAUAAUAUUGUACAUCAUCCAUGACUUGACCUCGUUUAUUCUAAGAUGAUCUGUGACAGAUCCUGCGACAUCAUUGUCGCAUGUGUGGUGCACCACAAAUUUAAAAAAAAAAACAACUUACACAUUUAGCUUA